UUUGUUUUUGUUUCAUGGUGUAAGCCUUGGGCUGGAAGAUGGAGCUGGAGCCCAAAUCCUGAUCUUGCACUGCCAUUUAUUUCCUGGGUGGUCUGGAAGAAAAAACUCUUGAAUUUCUUGUCUUGAGGACUGGGUAGGGAUGUCCCCUCCCCUCAUGAACAUUCCCAGCCCAUGGGGCACUGAGCAGAGCCCCAGUGGGAAUGGGAGCAGCCUGUGGGGCUGGGGGGCUCGGGGUUUGGAGCCAUGGAGAGUCACAGAGUCACAGAAUCAUGGAAUCAGAGAGUUGUGGAAUCACAGAAUCAUGGAAUCAUAGAACCACAGAAUCACAGAGUUGUACAAUAGUUUGGGUUGGAAGGGACCUUCAAAGUCCAUCUAGUCCAGCCCCCUGCAAUGAGGAGGGACAUUUCCAAUGAGAUCAGGCACAUAUUUCCUUAUUUCCUACGUCUUUAUGAGCAUGUCCACUGCCCCAGCAUCUGCUUAGUGGACUGAUCUUAGAAGAGGUCACUUGUGUCAUGGGAUCUUCCUCCUGCCUGGACGAGUCACCAAAAACCCCAAGGUUUUUGUGUCCCCCAGAGCCUCCCAUCCUGCUGCCUGGAGAAAAAGCCUCACACUCAAGCAAUUACAGAAAAGCCCAGUGGUUUUGGCUCUCCCAGGAAAGCUCAAAUGGACUGUGGAAAAGCUGAAUGAGGGUGUGGUGUGGUCCCACAGAGAGAACAGACAGAUGAUGACUGCAUCAAAGAAGCCAGCGCUCUGAAAUAGCACACAGUGAAAU
Non-coding RNA from Taeniopygia guttata (zebra finch), 772 nucleotides. Lineage: Eukaryota; Metazoa; Chordata; Aves; Passeriformes; Estrildidae. The record is from RefSeq and is a predicted model, not a curated record.